RNAcentral lists this ribosomal RNA (571 nucleotides) under Hypocreales sp. 2 AR-2010. Its description in RNAcentral is "eukaryotic LSU rRNA". The stretch from base 240 to 393 matches the Rfam family "5.8S ribosomal RNA". Lineage: Eukaryota; Fungi; Ascomycota; Sordariomycetes; Hypocreales. The record is from RNAcentral.
GAGGAAGUAAAAGUCGUAACAAGGUCUCCGUUGGUGAACCAGCGGAGGGAUCAUUACCGAGUUUACAAACUCCCAAACCCCUGUGAACUUAUACCUAUACGUUGCUUCGGCGGGACUCGCCCCGGCUGCCAACCCGCUCGCGGGGAGGCGGACCGGACCCAGGCGCCCGCCGGAGGACCCAAACUCUUCUGUCUCUCAUAGCGGCAUGUCUGAGUGGAUUUUUAUACAAAAUGAAUCAAAACUUUCAACAACGGAUCUCUUGGUUCUGGCAUCGAUGAAGAACGCAGCGAAAUGCGAUAAGUAAUGUGAAUUGCAGAAUUCAGUGAAUCAUCGAAUCUUUGAACGCACAUUGCGCCCGCCAGUAUUCUGGCGGGCAUGCCUGUUCGAGCGUCAUUUCAACCCUCAAGCCCCCGCGCUUGGUGUUGGGGUGCCGGCGUCAAGCGCUGCCCGCAGCGCCCGCCGCCCCCGAAAUCGAUUGGCGGUCUCGUCGCAGCCUCCCUUGCGUAGUAACAUACCACCUCGCAUGGCGGAGCGCGACGCGGCCACGCCGUAAAACGCCCCAAUUCUCAAG